Molecule: long non-coding RNA, 6080 nt
Organism: Aedes albopictus (Asian tiger mosquito)
Lineage: Eukaryota; Metazoa; Arthropoda; Insecta; Diptera; Culicidae
Exons: 3
Source: RefSeq, a predicted model, not a curated record
CGGAGGCCCAUGUUUCCGGUUUGAUGCCGAAGUGCAUAAUUGUUGGUAAACAAACAUGGUUGUUUAUAAACAAACUGUUUCGUCGACACUUUUCUGCUUCUUCUUCUUCAAUUCGACUCUCAAGCUCGAGUGUCAAAAUUACUUUGGUAAUAUGAAGAUUUUUUUCUUGACUGCUUUCCGUUCCAGGUGCAUACCAAACCUAAUAUGAAAGAUUUCCCCAGCGACUUCCACUGCAUUCAUGCAGUAGAACCUGCCCUCAGGUUGGAAAGUUUCCACUGAGUUUAAUAAGGAGUUUGACGUCAGGUGGUGAAUAUUCCCACUGAGUGCUAAUCCUUAACCCGCCCUCAGGUGGUGAUUGUUCCCACUGAGUAUAAAACUCAACAGAACAUAUUAUGGACGGACGGUUGAAGGGGUAAUUGUACCCCUAUUUAAAGGGGACGAAAAAUCUUUUCCGUUUUGGAGGAAACGGAUGGAACAGCACUUAAAAUACGAAGGACUAUUGCACACUCUGGAGAGAGUCCCUGCGGAAGAAGACUUUGCGCAGCCAGCUGCUAACGAGACAGCAGAUCAAGAAACUGCUCGCAAAGCUAAGUUAGAAAAACGCCUAAGAGAAGAUGACGCAGCCGUGAACGAAUUUUGGAUGGCACUGGACGAUGAUGCCAUGGGGCAAGUCUUCCAAUGCCAGUACGCAAAAGAAAUAAUGGAUCGCCUCGUCGAGCUGUACCAGAGCCAUGGCACGACAGCCAUGCUGGGCGUGCGUGCUCGCUUAUAUACUUUGCGCAUGGAAAACUCCGCAUCACUAAAGGAACUGUUCGCUCUCCACUCUGAACUGAUUCGCCAGUUGGGCAGUAUGGAAGAGGCCGUACCACAUAAAGAAGUGGUUGACACAUUAUUAGAGGCUAUUCCAGACAAGUUCAAGCACGUGUUGGGAGCACUGUCAGUGAUUAGGAAAGAAGAAUAAGUAUACCGGAUGACAAAGGAGCAGCUCCAGAGAAUCUUUCUCGACGCAGAAGAAAACGCAAAUCAAGCCGUCAGGUGAUCGGACAAAAGUGUGAACCGAGGAGGAAGCCAUCCAGUCGCAACGAUGGCCGUCUGCUUUGAAUGCAACCGGCCUGGCCACAAGCAACGCAACUACUUCGCCCGGCGUCGUCGCCUGGCGAUGGAGCGCAGAAUGGGAGCCGUGAACUUGAGGGACAACCGCGGUCCAGCUCCACGUGCCGCAGGAGCGGGAGGACGCGGUGGCAACGGCGAAGGACGGAACUAACGGAAACAACCGCCGGAUGGCUCUGCUCGCAAAUGCAGCAGGUGCACGCGCUGGUAAUCAAGCUGAAGGACGUUACCGGAACAACGCCAACGAGAGGGACGCGGUAGCACUGCUCGCAAGGCAAGAGGGGGCCUUUAUGGUGCAAAUCCCUUUGCCUGUGCAGGACGCAGGGGCUGCAGUGGCCGAAGAGUCAGCUGACGCCGUUCGCGAUCGACGGGUGCGCGAGAUGGACCUCGACAAGAUGCCAGUUCCGUUCCCGAUCAUACUUGAUUCAGGGGCAUCACGUCAUAUGGCGCAUGACAUUGAGCUGUUUAACCGCCUCUGGGACGCCCCGGAGCUACAGGUAGGAACAGCCAAAGAUGGGGAAGUGCUGAAGUGUUGCAAAAUGGAAAAUAUCAUACUGAGAAACAAUAAACGCCAGCGUUUGGAAGUUUACGAUGUGCUUUUCAUUUCUGACUUGAAUGUAAAUAUCCUUUCUGUGUCUCAAAUUGAAGAAGCAGGUUACUCGAUUCUGUUUGGCAAUGGUGGAGUCGAGAUCAGAGACAGAGAUGGCUUUGUAUUAGUAACAUGGAGGAGAGUCAAUGGGCUCUAUCACCUGGACCUGUAUCCGGACAGCGAAAGCGUGUGCUUGGGUAAGGUUUUUUAAAAGCAAAGGUUAUGGCACUGUAGGAUGGGACACUUGAAUGAAGCUUGUUUGUGGAAGAUGGUUAAACAGGGUAUGGUUGAGAGGUUGGAUCUAGAACCAUCAGCUAAGGGCCAAGAUCCAAUUGUUUGCGAGCCGUGUAUCAUGGGGAAACAGACUCGGGAAGCAUUUGACAAGUCGUUCAAGGUAAGGUCCGAUAGACCACUGGAAUCGGUCCACUCGGAUGUGUGCGGUCGGAUGGCCGAGUGUACCUAUGAUGGGCAUGAGUAUUUCGUGACAUUCAUAGAUGAUUACACCCAUUUUGUUAUUGUGUACUUGAUGAGGUACAAGAGUGAAGUCCUGGAUAAAUUCAAGCAUUUUGAAGCUUUGGCCACUGCCCAAUUUUCUGUGAACAUUUCUAGGUUACGAUCAGAUAAUGGAGGAGAGUAUUUCAGUAGAAAAUUCAAAGCUUUCUGUGAAGAAAAGGGAAUCCAAAUGUUGCCGACUGUACCCUACACUCCCCAGCAGAAUGGGGUGAAUAAGAGGAUGAAUCGGACAUUAAUGGAUAAAGUGAGAACCAUGAUGCAUGAAGGAAAUGUUCCUAAGGACUGUUCAAUUUAUAAAACGGACAACUUUGCAAGUCUAUAAAAAAAUGACGCCUAGUUCAAAUUUAACCACCCUUGUUUCGUUUUUCAGUACAUCAUCUAUCAUUAUGGUAAUAAUUUUUGAAUCGAAUAAAAAACGUUUUAUUUUAUAGAAAAUCGGCCAGAUGUAAAAUGAGGUGAAAUUUUUUAUUGCUGAAAAUUUGAAAAAUAAAUAAAAUUACUGUUCACAUAUGGUAUAUCGUUUUUAAUAUCAGAAAACUAAGUGCCAUGCUGCAGCAGCAUGAGUAAUAAACAUUCUGGCGAAAUUUAAACUCAAUUGGAAAAUUAGUUGUUGAGAUAUCAAAGUCUCAAGUCAGAUUCAAUUUUUUGAAUAAAAUUCAAUUGUUAAGCAAAAAGGGCAUGAAAAUAUUAAAUAGGGUAAGUGUACCAGUUAUGGCCAUUGUGCCAAUUAUUCGCCAAAGUUAAUUUUCACCCUUUAGCGAUGAAAAUCAACAAGAAAAAAAAUGUGAACAACAGAUCACGUUCACAAAACAUAGUCGCACUCAUUUAAUUUCCACAUUUUCCUCAAAUCGUGGUAAAUAAAUCAUUUUCCUUAAAAUUUCGGCUUCCUUGCAUCCUUUUUCGUCAUAGUGUACCAGUUAUGGCUAACCCCAUAAGGAAUGCAUGCAAAUAGUGCGAAAAGGAACCGAAGUUAAAAAAUGUAACCAUAACUGGUACAGGGUUCCUAUCACUGGCAUACGCUGUAAUCAAUACUAAAAGUAGUUUUGGCUCUAUUUCUAUAUUUUUCCUGUAAAGUAUGGAAACUAAGCUGUCUUUCAACUUAUUGAUGACAUUCGUUGGUCUUCUCGUUAUUUUUAUAUAAAUAGCUUUCCUUAGGUAGUGCCAUAAUUGGUACACGCACCCUAAACAAUUAUUUUAUGCACUCAGUCGAAAGUAGGAAUAAUGUGGUUUCAAAUGCGCUUUUUAAUAGCAUUGCUGGUUUGGAUACUGUGCGCCAUUGCAGGUACAGUAAUCAAAAAAGUUUCGUUCUUUGAAGGUUCUUCCAAAUAACAAUGCAACCUUAUGCAAAAUUUAGCAUAACAAUGAUGUUAGAAAUGAAAACUUUACAUCUAAUUAUUAUUAAACAAGGCAUACAAUAGCAUAGGACCAACUUUAUGGAAAAUAAAUAAUAACAAGAUUCGCUAGAGUCGAAAAACUGCAUCAAUGGAGCAAAAAGUAUGCAGUUUUUUACUAUGACCAUCUUUAUGGAUUACAUUUUUGGUGAAGAAUACAAUUUAAAGUAAAUUUUUCUUCUGUAUCAUUCAGAAAGCAAUAUUCUACUACUCUGGACAAAUUUUCAGCCGAAUCCGUUGUGCUUUUGCAACACAGGACUUGAAUAAAUAUUUUUUCAAUAAUUACUAUGAAAACAAGGCAACUCACUAUAUCAAGCUGGAGGCUGCCUUGUGCAUUAUUACUGACCAACUAUUGAGCCUUACCUUAAGAAGAAUAGUAUGAGAUUGCAAUACAUUGAAAACUUCACGAAAAUGUGCAUGUUAAAUAUGUGGAAAGUUAUAUCGAAUUUUGAGAAAUGGGUUUUUAUUGAUGCACGCAGAAAAAAGCAUGGUAAAAUCAAAAAUAUUCCAGGUAAACUCAAAUAAAUUGUCAAUUUGUUCUGGCAACAAAAAUAAAACUGUUUGAAGCAAAUAGAACGUCACAUUUGAAGCAAAUUCAAUCCAUUUUUGAAACAAACAUGUAUCUUCUGACUGGUUAUGUUAGAAACAAAUGUAUGUUUUUUUUUUGUGGCAGGUCGGCCUACGGAAAUAUUUGUUUUCCAAUUAUAUUUACAAAAUUAUUUCCUUCUCUAGGAAAAUCCACUUCCCGCGUCCCGCGUGGCACUUUCAAUGCCAACAUCAUGUAGAUAACAUACGCUCCCGAAAUCAAUGGGAUUUCGUGGAAACUUUUGGUGAAACUUGCCUUUUUUGCAAGAGGAAAACUUGUUUGGUGAUGCAGCUGGAACUUGAGAGUUUUGUUUAUGUUCUCGACGGCGGAUCGGGGGGCUCUUCAAUGGGUAUUGUAGAAAUCAAUAUGUAAUUGAGUUUGUUUUAAAAAUUAAUAUUUUAGUUUUAAAUAUUUUAUCAGUUUACUGAAUAAACAUGAAUAUUUUUGUUUCAAACGAACGAAAUUUGUCUCCGUGUGUUUUACGAAAACCGCUUCAGUUCCACAAUAAAGAACAUUUUACUCAAUGUUAUAUUUUUCCAUAGUGGAAGAAAUACCUAACGGGAGGAAGGCAAUGGAAGAUGACUCACCGCGAUACAAAGCUCGCCUUGUUGCAAAAGGUGGUUCGCAGCGUCCGGGAUUGGAUUAUGGCGAAACCUUUGCACCGGUGGCUAAAAUGACAACCAUACACGGAGACAAAUUUCGUUCGUUUGAAACAAAAAUAUUCAUGUUUAUUCAGUAAACUGAUAAAAUAUUUAAAACUAAAAUAUUAAUUUUUAAAACAAACUCAAUUACAUAUUGAUUUCUACAAUACCCAUUGAAGAGCCCCCCGUUCCGCCGUCGAGAACAUAAACAAAACUUUCAAGUUCCAGCUGCAUCACCAAACAAGUUUUCCUCUUGCAGAAAAGGCAAGUUUCACCAAAAGUUUCCACGAAAUCCCAUUGAUUUCGGGAGCAUAUGUUAUCUACAUGAUGUUGGCAUUGAAAGUGCCACGCGGGAAGUGGAUUUUCCUAGAGAAGGAAAUAAUUUUGUAAAUUUAAUUGGAAAAAAAAUAUUUCCGUAGGGCCGACCUGCCACAAAAAAAAACAAAAAUUUUUACAUUUGUUUCUAACAUAACCAGUCAGAAGAUACAUGUUUGUUUCAAAAAUGGAUUGAAUUUGCUUCAAAUGUGACGUUCGAUUUGCUCCAAACAGUUUUAUUUUUGUUGCCAGAACAAAUUGACAAUUUAUUUGAGUUUACCUGGAAUAUUUUUGAUUUUACCAUGCUUUUUUUUCUGUGUGAUAGAGUCGGUCAUGAUCAAUACAUUUUACCCAAGCAACCAUUAAGCCGUAAAAAUGGCAUUACGUCGGCUCUAUAGUCGAAUGUAGACCCUAUCUAACAGAGCUAAUUGGUUCUAUAUCCUCUUAUAAAGCUGCUCAAAAGCCACUUUUGGCGAAUUAUUCGGCUGAUAUACGGCCAACUUUGAAAUAUCGUACCAAGUCUCUGGAGAGAAAGUUGUCAAAAGUGAGACAAAGAAAAAAGAAAAAAAAGCGAGCUAAAACGAUCAUUUUCCUACAACGAUCUUAUAACAUAUUCGAUUUUUGCAAAAUAAGGGACGGCCUAUAGGCCUUUAUACACAUUAUAAUGUGUAUUGUCAAAAUCAAUAUGUAAAAGUUUUAAAAAUUAUUUUUUUGUUUUAAACAUUUUAUCAUUUUACCGAAUAAACAUUAAUAUUUUUGUUUCAAACGAAUGCAAUUUGUCUCCGUGCGCAAAUAUCCUUUAUGUUAAAUAACCGUUAUGUCAAAUGUAUUUAUGCCAAGUAACGUUAUGUGAAAUGUCCUACUCCCUUGCCUACUCCCUUUGUAUAGCCUUUGUAAUUUUAAGAUAACAUUAAAAUUAAAAUACCACUAAAUUU